Molecule: small nuclear RNA, 139 nt
Organism: Mustela erminea (ermine)
Lineage: Eukaryota; Metazoa; Chordata; Mammalia; Carnivora; Mustelidae
Product: U4 spliceosomal RNA
Exons: 1
Source: RefSeq, a predicted model, not a curated record
AGCUUUGCGCAGUGGCAGUAUCGUAGCCAAUGAGGUUUAUCCGAGGCGCGAUUAUUGCUAAUUGAGGGUUUAGUUCAUUCACAUGUAAUGUUAUUCUUGCUAUGGUUGGAUUUAUGUAUGCUAUUCUGCCCCCCCAUAU